Molecule: ribosomal RNA, 441 nt
Filed under: uncultured bacterium
Lineage: Bacteria
Description: bacterial SSU rRNA
Rfam family: Bacterial small subunit ribosomal RNA
Source: RNAcentral
CCUACGGGUGGCAGCAGUAGGGAAUAUUGGGCAAUGGGCGAAAGCCUGACCCAGCAACGCCGCGUGCACGAUGAAGGCCUUCGGGUCGUAAAGUGCUUUUCUGAGGGAUGAGAAAGGACAGUACCUCAGGAAUAAGCCUCGGCUAACUACGUGCCAGCAGCCGCGGUAAAACGUAGGAGGCGAGCGUUAUCCGGAUUUACUGGGCGUAAAGCGUGUGUAGGCGGUACGGCAAGUUGGAUGUGAAAGCUCCUGGCUUAACUAGGAGAGGUCGUUCAAAACUACCGAACUUGAGUUUAUCAGAGGAAGAUGGAAUUCCCGGUGUAGUGGUGAAAUGCGUAGAUAUCGGGAGGAACACCAGUGGCGAAAGCGAUCUUCUGGGAUAAUACUGACGCUCAGACACGAAAGCUAAGGUAGCGAACGGGAUUAGAUACCCUUGUAGUC